This 253-nucleotide unclassified non-coding RNA is filed under the name uncultured Halomonadaceae bacterium. RNAcentral's name for it is "contains 16S-23S intergenic spacer region". It matches the Rfam family "Bacterial small subunit ribosomal RNA", at positions 524 to 776 of the family's 1533-position model. The record is from RNAcentral. Lineage: Bacteria; Pseudomonadati; Pseudomonadota; Gammaproteobacteria; Oceanospirillales; Halomonadaceae.
UACGGAGGGGGCAAUCGGUAAUCGGAAGUACUGGGCGUAAAGCGCGCGUAUGUGGCUUGAUAAGCCGGUUGUGAAAGCCCCGGGCUCAACCUGGGAACGGCAUCCGGAACUGUCAAGCUAGAGUGCAGGAGAGGAAGGUAGAAUUCCCGGUGUAGCGGUGAAAUGCGUAGAGAUCGGGAGGAAUACCAGUGGCGAAGGCGGCCUUCUGGACUGACACUGACACUGAGGUGCGAAAGCGUGGGUCGCAAACAGG